Molecule: long non-coding RNA, 798 nt
Organism: Zea mays
Lineage: Eukaryota; Viridiplantae; Streptophyta; Magnoliopsida; Poales; Poaceae
Exons: 3
Source: RefSeq, a predicted model, not a curated record
GACGAAUGUCUGGAACUGUCCUAUUUUGGUUUAUUCUACCGGAUCCUGCCAUUGAUCUUGUAGGACCAAUCAUGACAUUAUUGCAAAGAAAACAUCAUUAAAAGGAUUAAAUGACAAAGUCCCUCUGUCAAACAAAUAGAUUUCUUUUACAUCAUAAUGAAAUUACAAGAAACUAUUUUGUAGAAAGUGUAGACUCUAUCUACGUCUUUGUUCUUUAAGAAACCUAGCAUCAAAUUGAAGAUUUUUCAUAUAACAAUAUUUAAAGUUAAAUCAUAAAAUGUAACAUAAUAUGUCUCAUAUGUUUAUCUACAUCUUGUGACAGUUGCUGGUGAAUAAUAGGACAGCAAGCGCCAGUGAAAUAGUUGCUUCAGCACUUCAUGACAAUUGCAAAGCUGUUCUUGUUGGCGAAAAGACUUUUGGCAAGGUUUGAACCACCCAAAAGAGGAUAUUGUGACGUUUUCUUUCCCUAUGAUCAACAGGAUUAUAUUAUGCCCUUUUUGUGUCUGGUAACUCAUGUCUAGGGUGAUGCAGGGCUUAAUCCAAUCUGUAUUUGAACUUCAUGAUGGUUCUGGUAUUGUCGUCACAGUUGGCAAAUACAUGACACCAAACCACAAGGAUAUCAAUGGGAAUGGAAUAGAACCGGAUUACAAUCGUCUUCCUGAUUUCAAUGAAGCCAGAGGUUACCUUUCACGAUGCGGAACAAAUAAAGCGGAUGCUCUGCCUGACUACUACACGACCCUCCAUGUCGCGCGCGCUGAUACGAUAAGCAGCGUAUCGGCGAGCGUCGAUACAGCCUCU